RNAcentral lists this ribosomal RNA (253 nucleotides) under uncultured bacterium. Its description in RNAcentral is "partial 16S ribosomal RNA". It matches the Rfam family "Bacterial small subunit ribosomal RNA", at positions 524 to 776 of the family's 1533-position model. The record is from RNAcentral.
GACGGAGGAUGCAAGCGAUAUCCGGUAUGAUUGGGCGUAAAGCGUUGGCAGGUGGCUUUUCAAGUCUGCUGUCAUAGACCGGCGCUUAACCCCAGAGAGGCAGUUGAAACUGAAUGGCUGGAGUGCAGAUCGGGUAGAGGGAAUUCCCAGUGUAGCGGUGAAAUGCGUAGAGAUUGGGAAGAUCACCGGUGGCGAAAGCGCUCUGCUGGACUGCAACUGACACUGAGGGACGAAAGCUAGGGGAGCGAAAGGG